RNAcentral lists this ribosomal RNA (253 nucleotides) under uncultured bacterium. Its description in RNAcentral is "partial 16S ribosomal RNA". It matches the Rfam family "Bacterial small subunit ribosomal RNA", at positions 524 to 776 of the family's 1533-position model. The record is from RNAcentral.
UACGGAGGGAGCAAGCGUUACUCGGAAUUAUUGGGCGUAAAGAGCUCGUAGGCGGCCUGUUGCGUCCGCUGUGAAAGCCCGGGGCUUAACCCCGGGUCGGCAGUGGAUACGGGCAGGCUAGAGGUAGGUAGGGGAGAAUGGAAUUCCCGGUGUAGCGGUGAAAUGCGCAGAUAUCGGGAGGAACACCGGUGGCGAAGGCGGUUCUCUGGGCCUUACCUGACGCUGAGGAGCGAAAGCGUGGGGAGCGAACAGG